This 484-nucleotide ribosomal RNA is filed under the name uncultured bacterium. Its description in RNAcentral is "partial 16S ribosomal RNA". It matches the Rfam family "Bacterial small subunit ribosomal RNA", at positions 30 to 507 of the family's 1533-position model. The record is from RNAcentral.
AUUGAACGCUGGCGGCAGGCCUAACACAUGCAAGUCGAGCGGAUGAAGGGAGCUUGCUCCUGGAUUCAGCGGCGGACGGGUGAGUAAUGCCUAGGAAUCUGCCUGGCAGUGGGGGAUAACGUCCGGAAACGGGCGCUAAUACCGCAUACGUCCUGCGGGAGAAAGUGGGGGAUCUUCGGAACUCACGCUAUCAGAUGAGCCUAGGUCGGAUUAGCUAGUUGGUGGGGUAAAGGCCUACCAAGCCGACGAUCCGUAACUGGUCUGAGAGGAUGAUCAGUCACACUGGAACUGAGACACGGUCCAGACUCCUACGGGAGGCAGCAGUGGGGAAUAUUGGACAAUGGGCGAAAGCCUGAUCCAGCCAGGCCGCGUGUGUGAAGAAGGUCUUCGGAUUGUAAAGCACUUUAAGUUGGGAGGAAGGGCAGUAAGUUAAUACCUUGCUGUUUUGACGUUACCAACAGAAUAAGCACCGGCUAACUUCGUG